RNAcentral lists this ribosomal RNA (460 nucleotides) under uncultured bacterium. Its description in RNAcentral is "partial 16S ribosomal RNA". It matches the Rfam family "Bacterial small subunit ribosomal RNA", at positions 338 to 795 of the family's 1533-position model. The record is from RNAcentral.
CCUACGGGCGGCAGCAGUGAGGAAUAUUGGUCAAUGGGCGGGAGCCUGAACCAGCCAAGUCGCGUGAGGGAAGACGGUCCUAUGGAUUGUAAACCUCUUUAGGCGGGGAGCAAUGCCGGGCACGUGUGCCCUGAGGGAGAGUACCCGCAGACUAAGCAUCGGCUAACUCCGUGCCAGCAGCCGCGGUAAUACGGAGGAUGCGAGCGUUAUCCGGAUUGAUUGGGUUUAAAGGGUGCGUAGGCGGAUUUUUAAGUCAGCGGUAAAAUGUCGGGGCUCAACCCGGGCCGGCCGUUGAAACUGGGGAUCUUGAGUGGGCGAGAAGUAUGCGGAAUGCGUGGUGUAGCGGUGAAAUGCAUAGAUAUCACGCAGAACUCCGAUUGCGAAGGCAGCAUACCGGCGCCCGACUGACGCUGAGGCACGAAAGCGUGGGGAUCGAACAGGAUUAGAUACCCGUGUAGUC